CGGGGUGUAGCGCAGCCUGGUAGCGCACUUGCAUGGGGUGCAAGGGGUCGCGAGUUCGAAUCCCGCCACCCCGACCA
Molecule: transfer RNA, 77 nt
Filed under: Vitreoscilla sp.
Lineage: Bacteria; Pseudomonadati; Pseudomonadota; Betaproteobacteria; Neisseriales; Neisseriaceae
Also listed under: 131 other names
Description: tRNA-Pro
Rfam family: tRNA
About the family: Transfer RNA (tRNA) molecules are approximately 80 nucleotides in length. Their secondary structure includes four short double-helical elements and three loops (D, anti-codon, and T loops). Further hydrogen bonds mediate the characteristic L-shaped molecular structure. tRNAs have two regions of fundamental functional importance: the anti-codon, which is responsible for specific mRNA codon recognition, and the 3' end, to which the tRNAs corresponding amino acid is attached (by aminoacyl-tRNA synthetases). tRNAs cope with the degeneracy of the genetic code in two manners: having more than one tRNA (with a specific anti-codon) for a particular amino acid; and 'wobble' base-pairing, i.e. permitting non-standard base-pairing at the 3rd anti-codon position.
Source: RNAcentral